RNAcentral lists this ribosomal RNA (271 nucleotides) under uncultured bacterium. RNAcentral's name for it is "partial 16S ribosomal RNA". It matches the Rfam family "Bacterial small subunit ribosomal RNA", at positions 335 to 623 of the family's 1533-position model. The record is from RNAcentral.
UGCCUACGGGACGCAGCAGUGGGGAAUAUUGCACAAUGGGGGAAACCCUGAUGCAGCAACGCCGCGUGAAGGAAGACGGUUUUCGGAUUGUAAACUUCUGUUCUUAGUGAAGAAGAAUGACGGUAGCUAAGGAGCAAGCCACGGCUAACUACGUGCCAGCAGCCGCGGUAAUACGUAGGUGGCAAGCGUUGUCCGGAUUUACUGGGUGUAAAGGGAGCGUAGGCGGCAGCGCAAGUCUGGAGUGAAAUGCCGGGGCCCAACCCCGGAACUG